This 459-nucleotide ribosomal RNA is filed under the name uncultured bacterium. Its description in RNAcentral is "partial 16S ribosomal RNA". It matches the Rfam family "Bacterial small subunit ribosomal RNA", at positions 28 to 523 of the family's 1533-position model. The record is from RNAcentral.
GAUGAACGCUGGCGGCGUGCCUAAAACAUGCAAGUCGAGCGGUAAGGCCUCUUCGGAGGUACACGAGCGGCGGACGGGUGAGUAACACGUGGGAAUCUACCCCAAACUGAGGGAUAAGCACCGGAAACGGUGUCUAAUACCGCAUAUGGUCUUCGGAUUAAAGCUUCGGCGGUUUGGGAAGAGCCCGCGUAAGAUUAGCUAGUUGGUGAGGUAAAGGCUUACCAAGGCGACGAUCUUUAGCUGGUUUGAGAGGAUGAUCAGCCACACUGGAACUGAGACACGGUCCAGACUCCUACGGGAGGCAGCAGUUAGGAAUUUUCCACAAUGGGCGAAAGCCUGAUGGAGCAACGCCGCGUGCAGGAUGAAGGUUUUCGGAUUGUAAACUGCUUUUAUGUGCGAAGAAUAUGACGGUAACACAUGAAUAAGGACCGGCUAACUCCGUGCCAGCCGCCGCGGUAA